Molecule: ribosomal RNA, 536 nt
Filed under: Globigerinella siphonifera
Lineage: Eukaryota; Foraminifera; Rotaliida; Globigerinidae
Description: bacterial SSU rRNA
Rfam family: Eukaryotic small subunit ribosomal RNA
Source: RNAcentral
AUUUGACUCAACGCGGGGAAUCUUACCGGGUCCGGACACACUGAGGAUUGACAGACAGUUGUCUUUCCCUCCCUUCGGGGUGGGAUUACAAAAGAUAACAGAUCUUUCAUGAUCAUGUGAUGGGUGGUGCAUGGCCGUUCUUAGUUCGUGGAGUGAUCUGUCUGCUUAAUUGCGUUUCAAAUUUUAUAUUUGUUAACAUGCGAGUCUUCAAUGACGGCCACUCCACCUUAUAGACAUUAUAUGAUAUGCACAUUUGUGUAUUUGAUUAUAACUUGUCUGGAGUCUGGCUCGAUUUUUUUGACUCAAUUGAACGCAACGGACGUGAUUGCAAGUCCUUGUUGAACAAAUUAUAUAUAUACUACUUCAUCAUUAGUAUAUAUAGUUCGCUUCUCAUGUCGUAGCAGUCAAACGGGCGGGCGUCUUAAUUGGCGCGGUCACGAGGCUUAAUAUGCUGCGGCUGGGGAAAACUUGGGCGACCGCUGUAAUACUUCUCUCUUAAACCAGAGGAAGAUUGCGGCAAUAACAGGUCUGUGAUG